GACGAACGCUGGCGGCGUGCUUAACACACGCAAGUCGAACGGAAAGGCCCUGCUUUUGUGGGGUGCUCGAGUGGCGAACGGGUGAGUAACACGUGAGUAACCUGCCCUUGACUUUGGGAUAACUUCAGGAAACUGGGGCUAAUACCGGAUAGGAGCUCCUGCUGCAUGGUGGGGGUUGGAAAGUUUCGGCGGUUGGGGAUGGACUCGCGGCUUAUCAGCUUGUUGGUGGGGUAGUGGCUUACCAAGGCUUUGACGGGUAGCCGGCCUGAGAGGGUGACCGGCCCCAUUGGGACUGAGAUCCGGCCCAGACCCCUACGGGGGGCAGCAGUGGGGAAUAUUGCACAAUGGGCGGAAGCCUGAUGCAGCAACGCCGCGUGCGGGAUGACGGCCUUCGGGUUGUAAACCGCUUUCGCCUGUGACGAAGCGUGAGUGACGGUAAUGGGUAAAGAAGCACCGGCUAACUACGUG
RNAcentral lists this ribosomal RNA (468 nucleotides) under uncultured bacterium. Its description in RNAcentral is "partial 16S ribosomal RNA". It matches the Rfam family "Bacterial small subunit ribosomal RNA", at positions 28 to 507 of the family's 1533-position model. The record is from RNAcentral.